AUGAGAAGCUUCGACUAAGGUUCGAUUCGAGCGCAGCGAGAAAGCGUUGCCGCAGGCAACGACCCGAAGGGUGAGGAGCGGAGCGACGAAUAAUCCUUCCCCCACCACCA
Molecule: small RNA, 110 nt
Filed under: Salmonella enterica
Lineage: Bacteria; Pseudomonadati; Pseudomonadota; Gammaproteobacteria; Enterobacterales; Enterobacteriaceae
Description: partial RtT sRNA
Rfam family: RtT RNA
About the family: This family represents a bacterial cis-regulatory element known as RtT RNA. The exact function of RtT is unknown although it is thought that it may be involved in changing the cellular response in relation to amino acid starvation.
Source: RNAcentral